RNAcentral lists this ribosomal RNA (253 nucleotides) under uncultured bacterium. Its description in RNAcentral is "partial 16S ribosomal RNA". It matches the Rfam family "Bacterial small subunit ribosomal RNA", at positions 524 to 776 of the family's 1533-position model. The record is from RNAcentral.
UACGUAGGGUGCGAGCGUUAAUCGGAAUUACUGGGCGUAAAGCGUGCGCAGGCGGUUGUGUAAGACAGGUGUGAAAUCCCCGGGCUUAACCUGGGAAUGGCGCUUGUGACUGCACGGCUAGAGUACGGCAGAGGGGGGUGGAAUUCCACGUGUAGCAGUGAAAUGCGUAGAGAUGUGGAGGAACACCGAUGGCGAAGGCAGCCCCCUGGGCCGAUACUGACGCUCAUGCACGAAAGCGUGGGGAGCAAACAGG